This 244-nucleotide ribosomal RNA is filed under the name uncultured bacterium. RNAcentral describes it as "partial 16S ribosomal RNA". It matches the Rfam family "Bacterial small subunit ribosomal RNA", at positions 533 to 776 of the family's 1533-position model. The record is from RNAcentral.
GGCAAAUGUUGUUCGGAAUCACUGGGCGUAAAGGGCGCGUAGGCGGGUUCUUAAGUUAGGUGUUUAAUCCCGGGGCCCAACCCCGGACCGGCACUUAAAACUGGGAAUCUUGAAUAGUGGAGAGGUCAGUGGAAUUGGGGGUGUAGCGGUGGAAUGCGUAGAGAUCCCCAAGAACACCAGUUGCGAAGGCGGCUGACUGGACACAUAUUGACGCUGAGGCUCGAAAGCAUGGGGAGCAAACAGG